Arabidopsis thaliana (thale cress) is the source of this 301-nucleotide long non-coding RNA. RefSeq annotates it as other RNA. The record is from RefSeq. The transcript has a single exon. NCBI's taxonomy places the organism in Eukaryota, Viridiplantae, Streptophyta, Magnoliopsida, Brassicales, Brassicaceae.
CUCGGAAACUAAAUCCCAGUUAUCAUAAACACUAGUGCCGAGCUUUUGCUUCGGCUAAAUACAGUUUCUUAUCUGCUUUGGUCUGUGCUUAGAAAUCCAGUUAUCCCGAAUAACCUGGUACCGAGACGAUCAGCUCGGAACGAAGUAUACUGAACCCAGCUUUGACUCGGGCAAUUUGUACCCGAGCCAACCACCUCAGUUCGUCUGUAGCUUUCCUAGCUCGAAGUUCGUCUAGCUAGCAGCUCGUCUGCACUUCGCCUAGCUGACAGCUCGUCUACAGCCGGUACAUACCGUUUGCCCC